CCUGGACCUCUUUCCAAUCAAACUUGUCUUGUAACCAGAGUUGAUGGGACUCCUCAGCCUAAAGGAUUAAUAUACUAACAAGGUCCUCUGGCUCUUGAAAACUCCGCUCAGACACCAACAUUUCAACUUGGUCCAAACUAGGAGCAGGAGAAAACCAGAACUCUCAGCAUGACCUGAAGUGAACYGGCUGGUGAAACUCUAGACGAUCUAAUAUUGGCAUUAAUCACCUGUGAAAUCCUUCAUAUGUCCUUCAAAU
This 256-nucleotide long non-coding RNA is filed under the name Urocitellus parryii (Arctic ground squirrel). RNAcentral describes it as "lncRNA (ENSUPAG00010009834.1)". The record is from RNAcentral. Lineage: Eukaryota; Metazoa; Chordata; Mammalia; Rodentia; Sciuridae.